Molecule: transfer RNA, 81 nt
Filed under: Puccinia graminis f. sp. tritici CRL 75-36-700-3
Lineage: Eukaryota; Fungi; Basidiomycota; Pucciniomycetes; Pucciniales; Pucciniaceae
Description: tRNA-Glu for anticodon CUC
Rfam family: tRNA
About the family: Transfer RNA (tRNA) molecules are approximately 80 nucleotides in length. Their secondary structure includes four short double-helical elements and three loops (D, anti-codon, and T loops).
Source: RNAcentral
UCCGAAUUAGUAUAUCGGCUAGUAUGACCGCCUCUCAUUGGGUGUCCGCGGUAGAGACGGGUUCGACUCCCGUAUUCGGAA